RNAcentral lists this ribosomal RNA (167 nucleotides) under uncultured rumen bacterium. RNAcentral's name for it is "partial 16S ribosomal RNA". It matches the Rfam family "Bacterial small subunit ribosomal RNA", at positions 340 to 524 of the family's 1533-position model. The record is from RNAcentral.
UACGGGAGGCAGCAGUGGGGAAUAUUGCACAAUGGAGGAAACUCUGAUGCAGCGACGCCGCGUGAGUGACGAAGUGUUUCGGCAUGUAAAGCUCUAUCAGCAGGGAAGAAAAUAACGGUACCUGACUAAGAAGCCCCGGCUAACUACGUGCCAGCAGCCGCGGUAAU